RNAcentral lists this ribosomal RNA (253 nucleotides) under uncultured bacterium. Its description in RNAcentral is "partial 16S ribosomal RNA". It matches the Rfam family "Bacterial small subunit ribosomal RNA", at positions 524 to 776 of the family's 1533-position model. The record is from RNAcentral.
UACGGAGGAUGCAAGCGUUAUCCGGAAUGAUUGGGCGUAAAGCGUCCGCAGGUGGCAAUGUAAGUCUGCUGUCAAAGCGUCUGGCUCAACCAGAUAAAGGCAGUGGAAACUACAUAGCUAGAGUAAGGUAGGGGUAGAGGGAAUUCCUGGUGUAGCGGUGAAAUGCGUAGAGAUCAGGAAGAACACCGGUGGCGAAGGCGGUCUGCUGGGCAGUAGCUGACGCUGAGGCGCGACAGCGUGGGGAGCAAACAGG